AGGCAAGACAUCUCCAGACAUCUUCCAAAUGGACUGAGAGCUGUUGUUGCUUCUUCUGAUCUCCUGAGCCACUUCCAAUCCAGAUGGGAAACAGAAGAACAUGGAGAUUUUGCAAUUUGAGCUGAGCCAGGCAG
Lagopus leucura (white-tailed ptarmigan) is the source of this 134-nucleotide long non-coding RNA. RefSeq lists it as uncharacterized. The transcript is spliced from 3 exons. NCBI's taxonomy places the organism in Eukaryota, Metazoa, Chordata, Aves, Galliformes, Phasianidae. The record is from RefSeq and is a predicted model, not a curated record.